CCUACGGGAGGCAGCAGUGGGGAAUAUUGGGCAAUGGGCGCAAGCCUGACCCAGCAACGCCGCGUGAAGGAAGAAGGCCCUCGGGUUGUAAACUUCUUUUGUCAGGGACGACACAAAUGACGGUACCUGACGAAUCAGCCACGGCUAACUACGUGCCAGCCGCCGCGGUAAUACGUAGGGGGCCAGCGUUAUUCGGAUUUACUGGGUGUAAAGGGCGUGUAGGCGGGAGAGCAAGUCAGAUGUGAAAUUCCAGGGCUCAACCCUGGAACUGCAUUUGAAACUGUUUUUCUUGAGUGAUGGAGAGGCAGGCGGAAUUCCGUGUGUAGCGGUGAAAGGCGUAGAUAUACGGAGGAACACCAGUGGCGAAGGCGGCCUGCUGGACAUUAACUGACGCUGAGGCGCGAAAGCGUGGGGAGCAAACAGGAUUAGAGACCCCUGUAGUC
RNAcentral lists this ribosomal RNA (443 nucleotides) under uncultured bacterium. RNAcentral's name for it is "partial 16S ribosomal RNA". It matches the Rfam family "Bacterial small subunit ribosomal RNA", at positions 338 to 795 of the family's 1533-position model. The record is from RNAcentral.